AGUGAACGCUGGCGGUAGGCCUAACACAUGCAAGUCGAACGGCAGCACAGUAAGAGCUUGCUCUUACGGGUGGCGAGUGGCGGACGGGUGAGGAAUACAUCGGACUCUACUUUUUCGUGGGGGAUAACGUCGGGAAACUUACGCUAAUACAGCAUACGACCUACGGGUGAAAGCAGGUGAUCUUCGGACCUUGCGCGAUUGAAUGAGCCGAUGUCGGAUUAGCUAGUUGGCGGGGUAAAGGCCCACCAAGGCGACGAUCCGUAGCUGGUCUGAGAGGAUGAUCAGCCACACUGGAACUGAGACACGGUCCAGACUCCUACGGGAGGCAGCAGUGGGGAAUAUUGGACAAUGGGCGCAAGCCUGAUCCAGCCAUACCGCGUGGGUGAAGAAGGCCUUCGGGUUGUAAAGCCCUUUUGUUGGGAAAGAAAAGCAGCAGGUUAAUACCCCGCUGUUCUGACGGUACCCAAAGAAUAAGCACCGGCUAACUUCGUG
Molecule: ribosomal RNA, 492 nt
Filed under: uncultured bacterium
Lineage: Bacteria
Description: partial 16S ribosomal RNA
Rfam family: Bacterial small subunit ribosomal RNA
Source: RNAcentral